GUCUUUUUGAGUAUAAUUUAAAGUCUAAUCUGCCCACUGAUUUUUUAAAGGCCGCAGUAUUUUGACUGUGCAAAGGUAGCAUAAUAAUUAGUUUUUUAAUUGAAAGCUGGAAUGAAUGAUUUGAUGAAAAAAAUACUGUCUCUUUUUUAUUUUAUAUAAUUUUAUUUUUAAGUCAAAAAGCUUAAAUUUUAUUAAAAGACGAGAAGACCCUAUAGAGUUUUAUAUAUGAUAUUUUGUUGUCGUUAUUUUAUUAUUAAAAUUGAAAUAUAUUUUGUUGGGGUGAUAGAUAAGUUUAUUAAACCUUUUUUUUAUUUUAACUAUUAUUAUAGAUUAUUUGAUCCUUUUUAAGAUUAUAAGAUUAAAUUACCUUAGGGAUAACAGCGUAAUUUUUCUGGGGAGUUCAUAUCUAUAGAAAAGUUUGCGACCUCGAUGUUGGAUUAAGAUUUUAUUUAAAUGUAGAAGUUUAAAUUUUAAGUCUGUUCGACUUUUAAUAAUCUUACAUGAUC
RNAcentral lists this ribosomal RNA (506 nucleotides) under Clavigerodina gen. n. Borneo sp. JP-2014. RNAcentral's name for it is "partial 16S ribosomal RNA". The stretch from base 374 to 506 matches the Rfam family "Bacterial large subunit ribosomal RNA", at positions 2473 to 2605 of the family's 2925-position model. Lineage: Eukaryota; Metazoa; Arthropoda; Insecta; Coleoptera; Staphylinidae. The record is from RNAcentral.